UCUGUGUCUUCCUGCUUCACAGGUGAUUGCAUCUGACGGGUGGGCGUGGUCCACACCUGCAGCGCAUCAGACACUUUCCUGGCUAGCAUUUAAGGAGGACACUGUGAGCAGGAAUACACCAGAGUUUUAACCCGAUGUGUGUUCUUGUUGGAUUACUUACAGUCUGCCGCCCAUGACUCGAUGACCAGCUCUGAAUCCAGUCUGCUCAGAUUCUGCUCUGGCAUUCCCCUCUUACUCACUUGGCGGUACCAAGUUGGGGGAGAGUUCCCGUUCCCCUGGAUUCUUUUGGUCUCCUGGACUGCUCUGGUUCUUCCUGCCGCUCCUCCUGUCUGCCAUACACAGUGACGUUGCUUGAGUUCUCCGUCAGUGUCUCCACUGCCAAACCAUCGGUCACUCAGUCACCUUGUUCCACCUCGGAGCCACGGUAACGAUACUCCUGACUACUCACCCUCCCUGGAUAGGUUCUCUCGGCCAAGCGAGUUCCCAGCUUCGAUGUUCUGACCUCUCAUGUUGUACAGUCUGCUACUUGCUGAGCCUUUAAAAUAAAC
Molecule: long non-coding RNA, 548 nt
Organism: Fundulus heteroclitus (mummichog)
Lineage: Eukaryota; Metazoa; Chordata; Actinopteri; Cyprinodontiformes; Fundulidae
Exons: 3
Source: RefSeq, a predicted model, not a curated record